UACGAAGGGUGCAAGCGUUACUCGGAAUUACUGGGCGUAAAGCGUGCGUAGGUGGUUUGUUAAGUCUGUUGUGAAAGCCCCGGGCUCAACCUGGGAAUGGCAAUGGAUACUGGCAAGCUAGAGUGCGGUAGAGGGUAGUGGAAUUCCCGGUGUAGCGGUGAAAUGCGUAGAGAUCGGGAGGAACACCAGUGGCGAAGGCGGCUACCUGGACCAGCACUGACACUGAGGCACGAAAGCGUGGGGAGCAAGCAGG
This 253-nucleotide ribosomal RNA is filed under the name uncultured bacterium. RNAcentral describes it as "partial 16S ribosomal RNA". It matches the Rfam family "Bacterial small subunit ribosomal RNA", at positions 524 to 776 of the family's 1533-position model. The record is from RNAcentral.